Molecule: long non-coding RNA, 593 nt
Organism: Vitis riparia (riverbank grape)
Lineage: Eukaryota; Viridiplantae; Streptophyta; Magnoliopsida; Vitales; Vitaceae
Exons: 2
Source: RefSeq, a predicted model, not a curated record
UUUAAUUUCUACCCCAGAUGUGCAAGACCUGAUCUGGUUCUUGGUGUUAAACCUCAUUCAGAUAGAUCAGGAAUCACUGUCCUUCUGCAAGAUAAAGAAGUGGAAGGUCUUCAAGUUUUCAAAAAUGAUAAAUGGUUUAUAGUUUCUGUAAUUCCUCAUGCUUUUGUUGUCAACCUUGGGGAUCAAAUUAAUGCAGAUAAUGAGUAAUGGAAUAUUCAAGAGCCCAAUGCACAGGGUUAUGACAAACUCAGAAAGGAUGAGGAUAUCAGUGGCUAUGUUUAAUGAACCAGCGCCAGACAAGGAAAUUGGACCGGUGGAUGGCUUGAUAGACGAGAAAAGGCCAAGAUUAUAUAAAAAUGUGAAGAAUUAUGCCGCUUUCAACUUUGAGUGCUUUCAGAAAGGGGUGGUACCACUUGAAUCAGCAAAAAUAUGAGUUUUUAUCAUCUUCAUGACCUUUGGCCCUAGAAAUGAAUUAGGGAAUUUGUUUGUUGAUCGCAAGUGGUUAAACCAAUCUUUGGGCAUGUGACAUUGGAGCUUUGUUCUUCAUUGAAAAAAAUGGCAUCCAGUCUAUAAAUAUAAAGUAUGUUCUCUUA